AUCACUGCUAUGCUCCUGAUCAGGAAAUGUCUUGCUGCUAUCAGAUUUUCCUGAGAUGGGAAACAACAGAGCUGGGCCAGGCCAGGUCCCGGUCCCAGAGGAGAAAGCAUGGAGAGUGAGCAGCCCGGGUGUGAGUGUGCCCUUAGCUCUCCAGUGACUCCCCACAGGGCAGAUCGAUAAUCAUAACCCACUCUCUGGCCCCUAACGCGAGUUGACAUUGAGCCUGGUUGGUGAUGUUUCUCAUUUUGUCUGAUGGACAUUGUCAGGGGAGAAACUGGUGCAGGGGAAUGAAAAGGGUGACAGUAGUUUAGUCUAGAGGCCAAUGUGAAGGCCUCUGAGGGAGAUGUUACAGUCACUAUAUUCUAAGCGAAGGUAUGUAGCCAUUUGUAUUCUCUACUAGAGCAGGCUGGCUCAUCUCUUUACAAAAGGCACUCCCAAGGGGUCGAAUAUGCCUAGGACAACCCCCUGCCCAUGGGGGAUUUUUUUUUGUGGUUUCAUUAUUUGAAAGCAUAGUGUUGCAUGGCAUGCUGUGAAAGUUCCCCAAAUCAUUCUAGACCCUGGCUGUUUUGUUUCACGAGGGCCUGGGGAAGUCCAGGAUGUGACUCAGAGGGAGAAGGGCUGCUCAGCUCCGUGUUUGGGGAGGAGAACUGUGAUCGCAGAUUCUUCUGUCUACCUCCAUUUCCUGCCACGCACCCUACUCGCGAGACCCAGAAACACAUUUUGAACAUGGCGCCCAAGACCACAGCUUGGCCGCUGAUAGGUUACCCCGACUCCAGGAAAGCGCAUGUGCACACUGAACCUGUGCUGGAGCCCUGGGCGGCGCUAAGCUUGAUCUGCAUAACAACAUGGUGGCCUUGGCCUACUAACAAGGGUCAGUACUGGCCGCCAAAGUGUGUGGCAGUGGUGGCAGUGACAUCGUGGCCCCCAACUCACCUCGCCCCUCCUCCAGCCGGGGUCAACACCGAAACAUCAGACAUCGAAGCAGCGGCGGCCUCCCAACAUCAAGAGGAAUCUUUCCACAGGAAGAAGAGGUUAGAGGUCUGA
This 1044-nucleotide long non-coding RNA is filed under the name Oryctolagus cuniculus (rabbit). Its description in RNAcentral is "lncRNA (ENSOCUG00000036582.1)". Lineage: Eukaryota; Metazoa; Chordata; Mammalia; Lagomorpha; Leporidae. The record is from RNAcentral.